GACGAACGCUGGCGGCGUGCUUAACACAUGCAAGUCGAACGAAGAGCGAUGGAAGCUUGCUUCUAUCAAUCUUAGUAGCGAACGGGUGAGUAACGCGUAAUCAACCUGCCCUUCAGAGGGGGACAACAGUUGGAAACGACUGCUAAUACCGCAUACGAUCUAAUCUCGGCAUCGAGGAUAGAUGAAAGGUGGCCUCUACAUGUAAGCUAUCACUGAAGGAGGGGAUUGCGUCUGAUUAGCUAGUUGGAGGGGUAACGGCCCACCAAGGCGAUGAUCAGUAGCCGGUCUGAGAGGAUGAACGGCCACAUUGGGACUGAGACACGGCCCAGACUCCUACGGGAGGCAGCAGUGGGGAAUCUUCCGCAAUGGGCGAAAGUCUGACGGAGCAACGCCGCGUGAGUGAUGACGGCCUUCGGGUUGUAAAGCUCUGUUAAUCGGGACGAAAGGCCUUCUUGCGAAUAGUGAGAAGGAUUGACGGUACCGGAAUAGAAAGCCACGGCUAACUACGUG
Molecule: ribosomal RNA, 510 nt
Filed under: uncultured bacterium
Lineage: Bacteria
Description: partial 16S ribosomal RNA
Rfam family: Bacterial small subunit ribosomal RNA
Source: RNAcentral